This is a non-coding RNA of Python bivittatus (Burmese python), 345 nucleotides long. The record is from RefSeq and is a predicted model, not a curated record. NCBI's taxonomy places the organism in Eukaryota, Metazoa, Chordata, Lepidosauria, Squamata, Pythonidae.
AUAUUUCUAUUUUCUUGUAAGCCUCCUGGAGUCAAAGUGAUUCAACAGCAUACCAACAAACAGUAAAUAAUAAUUUUUAAAAACGGGUGCUCAUUUUCCCUCCUGCAGACAACGCCCUUGAAGCCCUGGAUGAGUUCGCCUUUCUGGAAGGAACGCUGGACUGACCCGUUUUGAAGACGAAUCCCUGGAAGGAAAGAAUGAGACUUUGCCAAGGAGAUUGGUGCCUCCCUCUGCGCCCCUCUGCUGAAAACGCUCCGAGGGAAUGCUUUGUAUAUACCCCACCAUGGGGAUUUGUAUAGAUUUGUGGGUGUUCUGUAUUUUCUCUUAAUACAUAUAUCUUUUCCA